Molecule: RNA transcript, 1560 nt
Organism: Anolis carolinensis (green anole)
Lineage: Eukaryota; Metazoa; Chordata; Lepidosauria; Squamata; Anolidae
Exons: 2
Source: RefSeq, a predicted model, not a curated record
UUCCUGCCUUUGAGGGUUGGAGUUCCUUUCGGAACUGAGGAAUGUUGUUAUCUUAUCUGUGGAGUUCGGCUUGAGCUUUCGCUGAAGAUGGACUAUGAAAGCUAUGCUCUGAAGCCGAGAAAUGCAAACUGUAAAUAGACAUGUAAAUAAAGUUAAUCAACAGUUGGACUUUGUCUGCUGGAGUGUUAUGUUUGACCAGUGCUGUUUCUCAGCAUGGGAAUACAGUCUGGAGAAGGAGGUGAGGUGAGGAUGAUGUUUUUGGAAUCCACUCUGCACCCCAUCAUCCCCCGACAGAUUUUCUCACCCUCGCAGUGAUGUUGACCGGCUAUAUCUGCCUAGAAGAUCAGGGGGCAGAGGACUCUUGCAAGUAAAACAAGUAGUCAAAGAAGAAGAACAUGCCCUGGCAGAAGAUGGAAAGCAAAGUGAAGAACCUGCUUUGAUUGAAGUAAAAAAUCAGAAACUUCUCAAGGCACAACAGACAAAAGCCCAGUACAAGAAAACUGCACUACAAACUAGAGCUGACAGCUGGCACAACAAAGCAUUGCAUGGAAAGUUCCUUGACAAAAUUGAAGGAAAAGCUGAUAAGGAGAAGACCUGGCUCUGGCUCACGAAUGGGACCCUGAAGAAGGAGACAGAAGGCCUGAUCCUUGCAGCCCAGGAGCAAGACAUCAGGACAAAGGCAAUUCAGGCCAAGAUCGAAAAAUCAGCUGAUGACCCAAAAUGCCGACUGUGCAAGGAAACCGACGAAACCAUGAAUCAUUUUCUCAACUGUGUAAGAAAAUCGCACAGACAGACUACAAACAGAGACACAACUAUGUGACUCAAAUGAUCCAUUGGAACUUAUGCCUCAAGUACCACCUCCCAGCAGCAAAGAACUGGUGGGAUCACAAACCUGCAAAAGUAUUGGAAAAUGAGCAAGCAAAGAUACUGUGGGACUUCCGAAUCCAGACUGACAAAGUUCUGGAACACAACACACCAGACAUCACAGUUGUGGAAAGGAAAAAGGUUUGGAUCAUUGAUGUCGCCAUCCCAGGUGACAGUCGCAUUGACGAAAAACAACAGGAAAAACUCAGCCGCUAUCAGGACCUCAAGAUUGAACUUCAAAGACUCUGGCAGAAACCAGUGCAGGUGGUCCCAGUGGUGAUGGGCACACUGGGUGCCGUGCCAAAAGAUCUCAGCCGGCAUUUGGAAACAAUAGACAUUGACAAAAUUACGAUCUGCAAAAGGCCACCUGACUGGGAUCUGCACGCAUCAUCCGAAAACACAUCACACAGUCCUAGACACUUGGGAAGUGUUCGACUUGUGAUUUUGUGAUACGAAAUCCAGCAUGUCUAUCUUGUUUGCUGUGUCAUACAAUAUAAUAAUAAUAAUAAUAAUAAUAAUAAUAAUAAUAAUAAUAAUAAUAAUAUAGGACCUUAUACAUGCUAAAGUAGGGUUUCGUAAAGUACGUGGCUUUGGUUAUUUUGUUCUUCGUCCAGCACCUUACGGAAUUCAAUGUUUGCUGAUUUGUUAUAUGGGGAGAUAGGGCGGGAUAUAAAUAAAGUAUUUUUAUUAUUAUUA